AACAAAUUAAAAAUAACAUUUAAGAAAAAGAGAUAUUGUGCAUUUUUGAAGAAAGAUCAAUCCAUCAAAUUUACAAAAUGCAUUGACGCGGGAUCCAGUUUACCCAUGAUGGGAAGAAAGUGGACAAUAGUCAUUGCGCGCGCGAUCAUUAAUGAUCCAAUGCAAACUGGGGAGAAAAUUUUAUGAUUCCGUGGAAUGACGGAGAACCGGACAUCAGUUCUAAAGGGAACGCUAAUGGUUCUAUAUCAAACACCGGCCGACCAUUUAACCGCGCGGGAACUUUCAUGGCGUUUCAUCAUUAAUCUCCCGUGAAGUCUUCUCGUGUGUAAACAGCUUUAUUGGCAGCUCCAGAGAGAGAUUUUGUGGCGAGUGCAAAAUUUCACGGAAAAUCUUACGCUGGCGCGAGUCCGCCGACUGCAGAUGCCAGAUGCAGACUCACAGUGACUUGCAAUCUGAGGCCAUUCUCGCGAGAAACGAAAGCAAGAAAACGUGUACAUGAAGAACGAAAGACAAAUAGGCAGACAAAUAGCACAAGGAACAUCUCCUCGGUCAAUAGUCCAAGCUACGUGCGAGGGAAGAAACGCCUAUCUCAAGUUCUGCAGCCACGCUGUCUGGAUGGUGAGAGAGAAAAAGAAAGAGAGAGAGAAGAGAGGCGUGAGGAGACAAAACGGGGAUCCUCUCCGUAGCGCGGACGCCACGCGCGACUAUAACAGACUAUAAGGAAGAACCUCUUAAUCGGGGACCCGGACCUCUGCAGGGCACCGAGGUCUUACCCUCGUGGCUCACCCAACGGCGCGGUGUAUCUCGACGGGGCUGACCCCCAACCCCACCACACGCCGUCACCCACGGGCCAUCAUCGUCGAUCACCAGCGGAAGAAGAACGCGCCUCCAGGCGCUUCUCGGUUCACUUCCCAUCGGCUUUGCCCCGCAUUCGUGUAAUCAGCCGACGAUGACCCUUUAGUGCCCAGAGCGUGUAUACCCAAGGCAACUGGACGAUCGCUCGUGCGUCGCACGAGCGAACUCGUGCCGUCUCUUCUCUCACGAUUAAGCACCAGAUGCGACUCACGCGAGUCUCUCAGAUGUAACAUAUACAUCGUAUAUUUUUGAAAAGUCCGUCGAGUGGUUGCAGCAAUUAAUCGUCUGUUAUUUAUGAAUUACAUUUUUUAAUUCGAUAAAAAAGUAAAAGCAUAUGAAAAUUUUACAUGGAAAAUAAUAAUAGGAAAAAUUAAUUAAAAUCUUUUAUCGUUUUUGUGUUUGUACACAAAAACGAAAUGUUUCUGAC
This is an unclassified non-coding RNA of Acromyrmex echinatior (Panamanian leafcutter ant), 1282 nucleotides long. Lineage: Eukaryota; Metazoa; Arthropoda; Insecta; Hymenoptera; Formicidae. The record is from RefSeq and is a predicted model, not a curated record.